This 478-nucleotide ribosomal RNA is filed under the name uncultured bacterium. RNAcentral's name for it is "partial 16S ribosomal RNA". It matches the Rfam family "Bacterial small subunit ribosomal RNA", at positions 28 to 507 of the family's 1533-position model. The record is from RNAcentral.
GAUGAACGCUGGCGGCGUGCUUAACACAUGCAAGUCGAACGGGAAUUAUUUUAUUGAAUCUUCGGUCGAUUUAAUUUAAUUCUAGUGGCGGACGGGUGAGUAACGCGUGGGUAACCUGCCUUAUACAGGGGGAUAACAGUCAGAAAUGGCUGCUAAUACCGCAUAAGCGCACAGAGCUGCAUGGCUCAGUGUGAAAAACUCCGGUGGUAUAAGAUGGACCCGCGUUGGAUUAGCUGGUUGGUGGGGUAACGGCCCACCAAGGCGACGAUCCAUAGCCGGCCUGAGAGGGUGAACGGCCACAUUGGGACUGAGACACGGCCCAGACUCCUACGGGAGGCAGCAGUGGGGAAUAUUGCACAAUGGGGGAAACCCUGAUGCAGCGACGCCGCGUGAAGGAAGAAGUAUCUCGGUAUGUAAACUUCUAUCAGCAGGGAAGAUAGUGACGGUACCUGACUAAGAAGCCCCGGCUAACUACGUG